AGGAUGGGACUGCGACCGAUCAGGCUGUUGGCGGGGUAAUGGCCCACCAAACCAGUAACCGGUACGGGCUUUGAGAGAAGGAGCCCGGAGAUGGACACUGAGACAAGGGUCCAGGUCCUACGGGGCGCAGCAGGCGCGAAACCUUCGCAAUGUGCGAAAGCAUGACGAGGUUAAUCCGAGUGGCAUCCGCUGAGGAAGUCUUUUGCCGGCUCUAAAACGGCCGGUGAAUGAGGGGAGGGCAAGCCUGGUGUCAGCCGCCGCGGUAAUACCAGCUCCUCGAGUGGUCGGGGCGAUUAUUGGGCCUAAAGCAUCCGUAGCCGGUUCCGUAGGUCCUCUGUUAAAUCCAGCCGCUUAACGGUUGGCCUGCAGAGGAUACCGCGGGACUAGGAGGCGGGAGAGGCGGGCGGUACUCCACGUGUAGGGGUAAAAUCCUUUGAUCCGUAGAAGACCACCAGUGGCGAAGGCGGCCCGCCAGAACGCGCUCGACGGUGAGGGAUGAAAGCUGGGGGAGCGAACCGGAUUAGAUACCCGGGUAGUCCCAGCCGUAAACGAUGCGAGCUAGAUGAUCCAGUCGCAAAUCGCGAUUGGAGUGUCGCAGGGAAGCCGUUAAGCUCGCCGCCUGGGGAGUACGGUCGCAAGACUGAAACUUAAAGGAAU
RNAcentral lists this ribosomal RNA (657 nucleotides) under uncultured crenarchaeote. RNAcentral describes it as "bacterial SSU rRNA". It matches the Rfam family "Archaeal small subunit ribosomal RNA", at positions 206 to 865 of the family's 1478-position model. Lineage: Archaea; Thermoproteati; Thermoproteota. The record is from RNAcentral.